This is a long non-coding RNA of Gallus gallus (chicken), 483 nucleotides long. The record is from Ensembl. NCBI's taxonomy places the organism in Eukaryota, Metazoa, Chordata, Aves, Galliformes, Phasianidae.
AAGCACAGGAAGCCUGCUGGAGAGUCAGAAGUUGGCCAUGGUGCAACAGGAGCUCUCACAGGAGAUAAGGUGGGAACAAGGAAAAGAACAAAGUGGGUGUUUUGCAACCACAGUCGGCGAGGACAAGCUCUGAGAAGCAUCUGUGCCAAAACUCUGUGUAAGGACAUGGCACAGGAUUUGACUUACAUUCAAGCUACCUGCUGAGGAGGCUGAGGAAAAAAUAGCCAAACCAAAGACUGCAAAUUCACUGGGCUGAAGUGGCAUUCUCUUAAGUGCUCAGGAUGAGGAACCAGGAUGAAACAAUUCAAUUACUUAAUUGUAGCAGGUUCACCUGAAUCUCAUCUCCAUCCAAGCUGCACCACAGGCUGAUCACUGGCUUUGGGUUUAGUGCAAACCCAGGAGUCUCGUGGGAACCAACACCGCAGGAUGGGAAAAUAUCCCUUAACCUCUCUGCUGUGCAGUCACUGAGGCGUGGAAGCAAAU